Molecule: long non-coding RNA, 712 nt
Filed under: Pan troglodytes (chimpanzee)
Lineage: Eukaryota; Metazoa; Chordata; Mammalia; Primates; Hominidae
Description: long non-coding RNA NONPTRT016140
Source: RNAcentral
UUGGGCAGGCUGGUCUUGAACUUCUGACCUCAGGUCAUCCAUCCACCUCAGCCUCCCAAAGUGUUGGGAUUACAGACACGAGCCACCACACCUGGCCGGGAGGAGACAGGGUUUAGACUCAGGGUGGGACGAGGGGAGCCCCUGCUCCUCAUCUGUGGCCUCUGUGUCUUCCUAGGAUCAGCAUUAACAAGGACACCAAGGUACCCAAUGCCUCUUUAUUCACCAUCAACAAAGAAGACCACACACUGGGAAACAUCAUUAAAUCUUAAGUUUCCCGUCACAGGCUCUCAGGGGCUGUGUUUAAUGGGCCCCUCUGGGCAAAGCACAAGUUCCAAGUCUUCCUCAGUCUCUCUGAGCUACAGGAAGUCCUUCUGGGGGCUUGCUGUGGGCAUUUUAUAAUCUUGGUACCUUUUUAUCAAAAUGACACCGACCUCUGGGAUUACAGACGUGAGCUACUGCGCCCGGCCUUACAUUCACCAUUAAGUGCACAUUCUGUAAAUGAACGAGCAGCAGAUUCCAGCACAGUAGGCCUGUGUGUUAUUCAUGCUGAGGGACAUUGAAAAGCAGUCAAGAUGAGCUCCCCUCAUGCCACCCGUUUGUGACCUCAGUGCCACCUGGGCCUCUAAGAUGUAUGUGGCAGAGACUAGAACUUCUAUUUAACAAGAGAAAGAAGUAGGAGUUCUGUGGCUAUCCAGUGCCCCUAAUGGGCGCC